ACGGCUAUAUCACGUUGAAAUACCGGUUCUCAUACGAUCACCGAAGUUAAGCAACGUUGAACCUUGACAGUACCUAGAUGGGUGACCGCGAACAAAUAUCCUGUGCUGUAAG
Molecule: non-coding RNA, 112 nt
Organism: Acanthosepion pharaonis
Lineage: Eukaryota; Metazoa; Mollusca; Cephalopoda; Sepiida; Sepiidae
Source: the annotation of a GenBank genome assembly